CCCUUAGAUGUCCUGGGCUGCACGCGCGCUACACUGGAAGUUACGGAUUGAGAUACUACCUUGUCCGAAAUGGUCCGGGUAAUCACCUAAAAGCUUGUCAUAAUUGGAAUGGAUUAUUGUAACUAGUAAUCCUGAACGAGGAAUUCCUAGUAAGUCCCAGUCAACAGCUGGUACUGAUUACGUCCCUGCCCUUUGUACACACCGCCCGUCGCUACUACUGAUUGGACGUCUAAGCAAGAUUUUUAAACACUGACAGUGUGUAGUUCACGCUAUACUACAGUGAGAAGAAGAAGAUCGAGCUUACUUGUCUAGAGGAAGUAAAAGUCGUAACA
Molecule: ribosomal RNA, 332 nt
Filed under: uncultured eukaryote
Lineage: Eukaryota
Description: partial 18S ribosomal RNA
Rfam family: Eukaryotic small subunit ribosomal RNA
Source: RNAcentral